Molecule: ribosomal RNA, 495 nt
Filed under: uncultured bacterium
Lineage: Bacteria
Description: partial 16S ribosomal RNA
Rfam family: Bacterial small subunit ribosomal RNA
Source: RNAcentral
GACGAACGCUGGCGGCGUGCCUAAUACAUGCAAGUCGAACGCUGAAGGAGGAGCUUGCUUCUCUGGAUGAGUUGCGAACGGGUGAGUAACGCGUAGGUAACCUGCCUGGUAGCGGGGGAUAACUAUUGGAAACGAUAGCUAAUACCGCAUAAUAGUAGAUGUUGCAUGACAUUUGCUUAAAAGGUGCAAUUGCAUCACUACCAGAUGGACCUGCGUUGUAUUAGCUAGUUGGUGGGGUAACGGCUCACCAAGGCGACGAUACAUAGCCGACCUGAGAGGGUGAUCGGCCACACUGGGACUGAGACACGGCCCAGACUCCUACGGGAGGCAGCAGUAGGGAAUCUUCGGCAAUGGACGGAAGUCUGACCGAGCAACGCCGCGUGAGUGAAGAAGGGUUUCGGAUCGUAAAGCUCUGUUGUAAGAGAAGAACGUGUGUGAGAGUGGAAAGUUCACACUGUGACGGUAGCUUACCAGAAAGGGACGGCUAACUACGUG